This 25-nucleotide non-coding RNA is filed under the name Mus musculus (house mouse). The record is from RNAcentral. Lineage: Eukaryota; Metazoa; Chordata; Mammalia; Rodentia; Muridae.
UGAACUCAGAGGUAGGGACUAAGCA